This 332-nucleotide ribosomal RNA is filed under the name uncultured Ruminococcus sp. RNAcentral's name for it is "partial 16S ribosomal RNA". The record is from RNAcentral. Lineage: Bacteria; Bacillati; Bacillota; Clostridia; Eubacteriales; Oscillospiraceae.
GGAGUCUGGGCCGUGUCUCAGUCCCAAUGUGGCCGUUCAACCUCUCAGUCCGGCUACUGAUCGUCGGCUUGGUGGGCCGUUACCUCACCAACUACCUAAUCAGACGCGAGCUCAUCUUUCGGCGAAAUUCGUUUGAUAACAAAGUCAUGCGGCUUCGUUAUGUUAUGAGGUAUUAACAUUCGUUUCCAAAUGGUAUCCCUCUCCGAAGGCAGAUUGCUCACGUGUUACUCACCCGUCCGCCACUAGCUAGAGAGUGCAAGCACUCUUUCGCUCGUUCGACUUGCAUGUGUUAAGCGUGCCGCCAGCGUGUCCUGAGCCACGGAUCAACUACU